This 484-nucleotide ribosomal RNA is filed under the name uncultured bacterium. RNAcentral describes it as "partial 16S ribosomal RNA". It matches the Rfam family "Bacterial small subunit ribosomal RNA", at positions 29 to 507 of the family's 1533-position model. The record is from RNAcentral.
AUUGAACGCUGGCGGCAUGCUUUACACAUGCAAGUCGAACGGCAGCGCGGGCUUCGGCCUGGCGGCGAGUGGCGAACGGGUGAGUAAUACAUCGGAACGUGCCCAGUAGUGGGGGAUAGCUCGGCGAAAGCCGGAUUAAUACCGCAUACGACCUGAGGGUGAAAGCGGGGGAUCUUCGGACUUCGCGCUAUUGGAGCGGCCGAUGGCAGAUUAGCUAGUUGGUGGGGUAAAGGCCUACCAAGGCGACGAUCUGUAGCUGGUCUGAGAGGACGACCAGCCACACUGGGACUGAGACACGGCCCAGACUCCUACGGGAGGCAGCAGUGGGGAAUUUUGGACAAUGGGCGAAAGCCUGAUCCAGCAAUGCCGCGUGUGUGAUGAAGGCCUUCGGGUUGUAAAGCACUUUUGGCGGGAACGAAAAGGACUGUGCCAAUACCACGGUUCGAUGACGGUACCCGCAGAAUAAGCACCGGCUAACUACGUG